Molecule: long non-coding RNA, 2585 nt
Filed under: Sus scrofa (pig)
Lineage: Eukaryota; Metazoa; Chordata; Mammalia; Artiodactyla; Suidae
Description: lncRNA (ENSSSCG00040065674.1)
Source: RNAcentral
UAUGCUGGCUUAUUUAAGUGAUUGCUUUCCAGUUGUGGUUUCCUCCAUCCUAAUUCUUCUUUCUUCUUCUCUCUCUCUCUCCAUUUUUUUUUUUUAAUUCACGGAAGCCCUUUCAGUAUUUCUUUUAGAAUGGGUUUCAUAUUGCUCUACUCUUUUAGCUUUGUUUGUUGGAGAAAUUCUUUAUUUCCCCUUCUAUUUUAAAUGAUAUUCUUGCAGGAUAGAGUAUUCUAUGUUGCAAAUUUUUCCUUUCAGAACUUUGAAUAUAUCUUGCCACUCUCUUCUGGCCUGUAGUAUUUCUGUAGAGAAAUCAGCUGAUAGCCUUAUGGGGGUUCCCUUAUAAUUAAUGCCUUGCUUUUCCGUUGCUGUAUUUAGAAUCCUCUCUUUAACUUUUGUCAUUUUUAUUAUAAUAUGUCUCAGUGUGGGCCUGCUUGUGUUCAACUUAUUUGGGGCCCUCUGUGCUUCCUGUAUCUUGAUAUCUGUUUUCUUUAGAUUUGGAAAGUUUUCAGCCAUAAUUUCUUCAAAUAUAUUUUCAAUCCCCCUUUUUUUUUCUUCCCCUUCUGGAAUUCCUAUUAUGCAUAGAUUGAUCCAUAGAUCUCUUAUAUUGCUUUCAUGUUUUUUCAUUUGGUUUUCUGUCUGCUGUGCUGAUUGGGUGAUUUCCAUUAUCUAUCUUCUAUCUCACUAAUUUGUUCCUCUGCAUUAUUCAUUCUGGUCUUUAUUGCCUUUAGCUCAGUUUGCAUCUCUGUAAAUAAAUUUUCUAGAUUUUCUUGGCUCCUCCUUAUAUUUUCUAGUUCCUUUCUAAAGGAAUCUGCAUUACUCUUCAUAUCCUCUCAAUUCCUUCAGUAUUUUCACUAUCUCCCUUUCGAAGUCAAAGUCUGUCAGACUGCAGAGGUCUGUUUCAUUUUUGACUUUAGGUGAAUUUUCCUGUUCCUUUAAGUGGGAAUGAUUUCUGAGCUUCUUAAUCUUGCUUAUGUUUUUCUUUUUCUGUGAGUUUGGGGAAGCCAAACUAGUCUUGUAAGACUACUUCUAUGCAAGAAUACCCUUUUGUAUUUUUUGGGUGGUUACUCUUUAUUUUUGGUGUGGGAGUUUGAAUAUUUGCCAUCUCUUUCUUUGGUGUGAGCAGGCUGUUAUCACCAGGAUGCUCAGUAUGUUUUCAGGGAGAAGGAGGCAAUGGGUAGGGCCAGCAGUCAGUGCCUCAUCAUUGGGCUCUCAACAGCAGCAAGGACCUGCAGGAAGGUGGCACAGGCUAUUUCUAGUUACAGGGCCCUGGGAAGUGGUAAUGAGCUCUAGGCAGAUCUACAAGGAGUAGCCUGCAUCACCUUCCUGCAGGUCCUUGCUGCUAUUAAGAGCCAAGCAACCAGGCAGAGACCACUAGCCCUACCCAUUGCCUCUUUCUCCCUGGAAACACACUCAUCACCCUGGGGAUAACAGCCUGCUCACACUAAAGAAAGAGACAGCAAAUACUCAAACUCCCAUGCCAAAAAUAAAUAGUAACUCCCCAUGAAAUACAAAGGGGUGCUCUUACAUAAAAGUAGCCCUCUAAGGCUUCGGUUUGGCUUCCCUAAACUCACAGAAAAAGAAAAAUAUAAGCAAGAUUAAGAAGCUCAGAAACCAUUCCCACUUAAAGGAACUAAAUUCACAUGAAGCAGCAAACAAUGAAACAGACCUCUGCAGUCUGACAGACUUUGAGUUCAAAAGGGAGAUAGUGAAAAUACUGAAGGAAUUAAGGCUGAAUAUCAAGGAAUUAAAAGCAGAUAUGAACAGUAAUGCAGAUUCCUUUAGAAAGGAACUAGGAAAUAUAAGGAGGAGCCAAGAAAAAUCAGAAAAUUCAUUUGCAGAGAUGCAAACUGAGCUAAAGGCAAUAAAGAGCAGAAUGAAUAAUGCAGAGGAAAUGAAUUACGACUUGGAAGAUAGAAUAAUGGAAGUUACCCAAUCAGGACAGCAGACAGAAAACCAAAUGAAAAAAGACAAAAGCAAUAUAAGAGACCAAUGGGAUAAUAUAAAGUGGGCCAAUCUAUGCAUAAUAGGAAUUCCAGAAGGAGAAGAAAAAGAAAAGGGGAUGGAAAAUAUAUUUGAAGAAAUUAUGGCUGAAAACUUUCCAAAUAUAAAGGAUACUGAUACCAAGAUACAGUAAGCACAGAGGGCCCCAAACAAGUUGAACCCAAAUAUGACCACACCAAGACAUAUAUAAUAAAAAUCGAAGAAGUUAAAGUUAAAGAGAGGAUUCUAAAGGCAGCAUGAGAAAAAUAAAGCAUUAAUUAUAAGGGAACCCCUAUAAGGCUAAUAGUUGAUUUCUCUACAGAAACACUACAGGCUAGAAGGGAGUGGCAAGAUAUAUUUAAAGUCCUGAAAAGAAAAAAACUGCAGCCUAGAAUAUUCUAUCCAGCAAGAAUAUCAUGUAAAAUAGAAUGGGAAAUAAAGAAUUUCUCCAACAAACAAAAGCUAAAAGAGUACCGCAAUGCUAAACCCAUUCUAAAAGAAAUACUGAAAGACCUUCUCUAAAUAAAAAAAGAAAUAAGAAGAAAUAGGAUGGAGGAAACCACAACUGGAAAGCAACCACUUAAAUAAGCCAGCAUACAGAUCUAAAA